Molecule: unclassified non-coding RNA, 520 nt
Filed under: uncultured Entrophospora
Lineage: Eukaryota; Fungi; Glomeromycota; Glomeromycetes; Entrophosporales; Entrophosporaceae
Description: SSU rRNA
Rfam family: Eukaryotic small subunit ribosomal RNA
Source: RNAcentral
AGCAGCCGCGGUAAUUCCAGCUCCAAUAGCGUAUAUUAAAGUUGUUGCAGUUAAAAAGCUCGUAGUUGAAUUUCGGGAUUGACGUGAUGGUCGUGCCUUACGGGGUAUGAACUGUUGCAGUCAAUUUCUCACCUUCUGGAGAAAUAUGAUGUCCUUAAUUGGGUGUCAUAUGGAACCAGAACUUUUACCUUGAAAAAAUUAGAGUGUUUAAAGCAGGCUUAAUUGCUCGAAUACAUUAGCAUGGAAUAAUAAAAUAGGACGGCAUGGUUCUAUUUUGUUGGUUUCUAGGAUCACCGUAAUGAUUAAUAGGGAUAGUUGGGGGCAUUAGUAUUCAAUUGUCAGAGGUGAAAUUCUUGGAUUUAUUGAAGACUAACUACUGCGAAAGCAUUUGCCAAGGAUGUUUUCAUUAAUCAAGAACGAAAGUUAGGGGAUCGAAGACGAUCAGAUACCGUCGUAGUCUUAACCAUAAACUAUGCCGACUAGGAAUCAGACGAUGUUAAUUUUUUAAUGACUCGUUUGG